UACGGAGGGUGCGAGCGUUGUCCGGAAUCACUGGGCGUAAAGGGCGCGUAGGUGGCGCGGGCAGUCAACGGUGAAAGUUCGGGGCUCAACCCUGAAUCGGCCGUCGAUACUCCCGUGCUUGAGCACUGUAGAGGCAGAUGGAAUUCCGGGUGUAGCGGUGGAAUGCGUAGAGAUCCGGAAGAACACCAGUGGCGAAGGCGGCUCACUGGCCCGGUACUGACGCUGAGGUGCGAAAGCGUGGGGAGCAAACAGG
This 253-nucleotide ribosomal RNA is filed under the name uncultured bacterium. RNAcentral describes it as "partial 16S ribosomal RNA". It matches the Rfam family "Bacterial small subunit ribosomal RNA", at positions 524 to 776 of the family's 1533-position model. The record is from RNAcentral.